This is a non-coding RNA of Hypoxylon sp. CI-4A, 112 nucleotides long. The record is from the annotation of a GenBank genome assembly. NCBI's taxonomy places the organism in Eukaryota, Fungi, Ascomycota, Sordariomycetes, Xylariales, Hypoxylaceae.
GCCUGGCUAGCUCAAUUGGCUAGAGCGUGGGACUUUUACAUAGCUGACAUGUCAAUAGACUUGAUCAGAUCUUGGGAUCCCAAGGUUGCGGGUUCGACCCCCGCGCGAGGCG